This 292-nucleotide ribosomal RNA is filed under the name uncultured bacterium. RNAcentral describes it as "partial 16S ribosomal RNA". The record is from RNAcentral. RNAcentral also lists the same sequence under 2 other names.
GGACUACUAGGGUAUCUAAUCCCGUUCGCUCCCCUAGCUUUCGCGCCUCAGCGUCAGAAGAGAUCCAGCACGUCGCUUUCGCCACCGGCGUUCCUUCCGAUAUCAACGCAUUUCACCGCUCCACCGGAAGUUCCACAUGCCCCUACCUCCCUCAAGGCUGUCAGUAUCAAAGGCAGUUUUCCGGUUGAGCCGAAAGAUUUCACCCCUGACUUGACAGUCCGCCUACGCGCCCUUUAAGCCCAGUGAUUCCGAACAACGUUUGCACGGUUCGUCUUACCGCGGCGGCUGGCAC